CACUGGUGAUAGCAAUAAUCUGCUUGGUUAUUUCUCUAGUUCUUAAUGUUAUUUUCAUCUGUUGCCGAACUCCAGGAGCAGCAUGUGAACAAAUUAAAAAAAACAGCUCGUCACAAGCCAGGCAAGAUGACUUGAGCCAAGCAGUGGAUGACAGUAUUGAAGGUGAACUGAACUAUGCUGCACUGCAAUUCUCUGGAAGGAAAACGACAAGAGGAAAGAAGAAGAAGGGUGAACUGGAAACUGAAGAAAGUGUGUACUCUCAAGUAAAAUGCAGAAUGUGAAAGUGUAUCUGUGUCGGUUGGGUUAUAGUACUGAUCUUUUAUAUUGAAAAUAAACAAAUACAAAGAAUUUUUUACUAAUUUUACCAAAAACAUGAUGCUUUACAUUCAAUGUUCCUAUUGUGUUUUCCUGUUCUUGUUUUCCAGGUUAUUUGUUUAUAAUAUGAUGAAUCAAUUCAAAUGAAUAGUAUUACAUUGUAUUACAUACAGAGUAUACAUAGUAUUACAGUAGUGCAAUAUUAUCAUGAUGGUUUCAUCACAUUGAUUCAGUGAUUUCAGCCUAAUAGUUCGAUCAGUCCCCCCACCUCAACAUUCAAAUGCAUAUAACAAAAGAGCUGGGAUAAGGUUUCGUUCACACUUUACUCUUAUCAACAUUUAUUUAGGCUCACAAUUUUUAUUUCAGUUUUUAGCAAUUUAACUUCCACAAAAAGGUGGAUUGUAUAGUCCUUGUUAGGUUGCAUUAUCUGAUCCAACUCUUUGUACAGGUGUAAUCCUGGAUAUGUUGAACAUUCUUUGCAGUUCACCCUUCUAUUGGUGUUGAUUGAGAUAGAAAAUUUACAUACUGAGUUGGCAGAGUAUUAUUCUAACUUGGGACUGGCUGCAGCUCCGGAAGCAAAGCAGGACAUCUACUAAUCUGCAUGUCAAAUAUCCUUGGGCAAGGUGCUAACCCCAAGUUGUUCUCCGAUCCAUCCAUUAGAGUAUGAAUGGGUGAAUAAAAAUGUUGUAUAAUUGUUUUUGAGUGCUCCAGGACAGUAGAAAAGCGCUAUAUACGAAUCAGCCUAUUUGCCAUCUAACUUCUCCCUGAGCACAAUCAUGAGGUUGAGAUGUUUGAUUCUGAAUAAAUGAACCCAGUCUGUUAAAUGAUUUGCCAUAGGAUUUGCUCCAUAAAAUUAACAUUAGAUAUUUCUUGUACUACAUACACUAAAUUGCCAAUAGCAUUCACUUUUCUGCUUUCACACAGAUAUGAAGUGACAUGUCAUUUUUAAUCUACAGGGUUCUUAGUACUGACUUUCUAAAGCUCUGCAUCGUGAUGCUCCUGCCUACAUCUCUGAUCUUUUAGAUCCCCACGCUCCCUCUCGCAGCCUGAGAUCAUCUAAUCAAAGGCUUUUGGUAGUACCAUAAACACGUUUUAAGACCAGAGCAGAUGGAUCUUUUACAGGGUGGCCCCCAGGUUGUGGAAUGCUUUGCCUCCGUCUUUACGUU
This is a long non-coding RNA of Oreochromis niloticus (Nile tilapia), 1481 nucleotides long. RefSeq lists it as uncharacterized. The record is from RefSeq and is a predicted model, not a curated record. The transcript has 3 exons. Lineage: Eukaryota; Metazoa; Chordata; Actinopteri; Cichliformes; Cichlidae.